GAUCAUGGCUCAGGAUGAACGCUGGCGGCGUGCCUAACACAUGCAAGUCGAGCGAUUCUCUUCGGAGAAGAGCGGCGGACGGGUGAGUAACGCGUGGGUAACCUGCCCUAUACACACGGAUAACAUACCGAAAGGUAUGCUAAUACGGGAUAACAUAAGAGAUUCGCAUGGAUUUCUUAUCAAAGCUCCGGCGGUAUAGGAUGGACCCGCGUCUGAUUAGCUAGUUGGUAAGGUAACGG
This 239-nucleotide ribosomal RNA is filed under the name uncultured bacterium. RNAcentral describes it as "partial 16S ribosomal RNA". It matches the Rfam family "Bacterial small subunit ribosomal RNA", at positions 15 to 263 of the family's 1533-position model. The record is from RNAcentral.